Actinia tenebrosa (Australian red waratah sea anemone) is the source of this 366-nucleotide long non-coding RNA. NCBI's taxonomy places the organism in Eukaryota, Metazoa, Cnidaria, Anthozoa, Actiniaria, Actiniidae. The record is from RefSeq and is a predicted model, not a curated record.
CAACAUGCUGACCAAUAUCAGUGUUGGAAUUUUCAACAAUAUCAGCACGCUGACGAAUCUUGGUCUUUCAGGGAACAAGCUUAAAGUGAUCAGAGCCGAACCUUUUGAAGGAUUAUCGUUGCUUCAAAGCAUUUUUCUYGAAGGAAACCAGAUACACCACAUCGAGAAAGAUGCGUUCAAAGAAUGUAAAGAUCUUACCAGUCUAUCACUGGGGAGAAACCGUUUGACAACUCUACCUGAUGGAUAUCUAUUGCAACUAAAGAACUUGAAAACCCUGUAAGAAAAACUCCAUUCACGACGCUAGUAGUCAUACAGAGUAAUCAGUUCACAGAUAUUCCCGAUUUUCCCGAUUUCGAUAAGAAUCCC